CUACGGGCGGCUCCAGUGGGGAAUAUUGCACAAUGGGCGCAAGCCUGAUGCAGCAACGCCGCGUGAGGGAUGAAGGCCUUCGGGUUGUAAACCUCUUUUAGCAGGGAAGAAGCGAAAGUGACGGUACCUGCAGAAAAAGCACCGGCUAACUACGUGCCAGCAGCCGCGGUAAUCCGUAGGGUGCAAGCGUUGUCCGGAAUUAUUGGGCGUAAAGAGCUCGUAGGCGGUUUGUCACGUCUGCUGUGAAAAUCCAAGGCUCAACCUUGGACUUGCAGUGGGUACGGGCAGGCUAGAGUGCGGUAGGGGAGAUGGGAAUUCCCGGUGUAGCGGUGGAAUGCGCAGAUAUCAGGAGGAACACCAAUGGCGAAGGCACAUCUCUGGGCCGUAACUGACGCUGAGGAGCGAAAGCGUGGGGAGCGAACAGGAUUAGAUACCCGUGUAGUC
RNAcentral lists this ribosomal RNA (444 nucleotides) under uncultured bacterium. RNAcentral describes it as "partial 16S ribosomal RNA". It matches the Rfam family "Bacterial small subunit ribosomal RNA", at positions 339 to 795 of the family's 1533-position model. The record is from RNAcentral.